UACGUAGGGUGCGAGCGUUAAUCGGAAUUACUGGGCGUAAAGUGUGCGCAGGCGGCUGCGCAAGUCGAGUGUGAAAUCCCCGAGCUUAACUUGGGAAUUGCGCUCGAAACUACGUGGCUGGAGUAUGGCAGAGGAAGGUGGAAUUCCACGUGUAGCGGUGAAAUGCGUAGAGAUGUGGAGGAACACCGAUGGCGAAGGCAGCCUUCUGGGCCAAUACUGACGCUCAUGCACGAAAGCGUGGGGAGCAAACAGG
RNAcentral lists this ribosomal RNA (253 nucleotides) under uncultured bacterium. Its description in RNAcentral is "partial 16S ribosomal RNA". It matches the Rfam family "Bacterial small subunit ribosomal RNA", at positions 524 to 776 of the family's 1533-position model. The record is from RNAcentral.